This 406-nucleotide ribosomal RNA is filed under the name uncultured bacterium. Its description in RNAcentral is "partial 16S ribosomal RNA". It matches the Rfam family "Bacterial small subunit ribosomal RNA", at positions 29 to 526 of the family's 1533-position model. The record is from RNAcentral.
AUUGAACGCUGGCGGCGUGCUUAACACAUGCAAGUCGCGUGCCGGCGCACGGGUGCGUAACACGUGGGCAAUCUGCCCUCCGAUGGGGAAUAACCCCGCGAAAGCGGGGCUAAUACCGCAUAUCGGAGGAGGAGCCCGCGCCCGAUUAGCUAGUUGGUAGGGUAACGGCCUACCAAGGCAAUGAUCGGUAGCUGGUCUGAGAGGAUGAUCAGCCACACUGGAACUGCGACACGGCCCAGACGCCUACGGGAGGCAGCAGUGGGGAAUCUGGCGCAAUGGGCGAAAGCCUGACGCAGCGACGCCGCGUGGGGGAUGAAGCUUUUCGGAGUGUAAACCCCGUUCGACUGGGAAGCGGUACCAGUAGAAGAAGCCCCGGCUAACUACGUGCCAGCAGCCGCGGUAAUAC